CUGGACCUUACCUUCCUCCUAAUCCUGAUGAAGAGCCUUCUACUAGUCCGGAUUUUAGGGAACACCGUGCUAUUUAUGGUCCAAAGAGGCCUCCAUCGUUGCAAUCAUAUGAAUCUUCUAAGGAGAUACUUGAAGGAAAAUGGAAAAAGAGGCAGUCAUAUGAAUCUUCUGAGGAGGAGCUACAUGAAAAAAAACGGAAAAUGAGGCAGUCAUAUGAAUCUUCUGAGGAGGAGCUACAUGAAAAAAAACGGAAAAAGAGGCAGUCAUAUGAAUCUUCUGAGGAUGGGCUACAUGAAGAAAAACGGAAAAAGAGGCAGUCAUAUGAAUCUUCUGAGGAUGAGCUACAUGAAGAGAAACGGAAAAAGAGUAAAAAAUCUCAUCAUAAAAGCCACUCGGACAAGGUGCAUUCUAAGAAGCACAGGUCCAAAGAGAAAUCUAAGCAUAAGAAAAGGAGAAGGGAGGAGAAAACAAGUAAACAUCGACGCUAAGGCUAUUCCGCAAUCCGAUAUAUUCUCAGAGGUUGUUAUAACUAAUAACCUGCUGAAACAGUUGAUUGGGAUGAAACUAAUGUUUUGUACUUUGUACAAAUGUAUU
RNAcentral lists this long non-coding RNA (594 nucleotides) under Medicago truncatula (barrel medic). Its description in RNAcentral is "long non-coding RNA (MTRU_LNC007986)". The record is from RNAcentral. Lineage: Eukaryota; Viridiplantae; Streptophyta; Magnoliopsida; Fabales; Fabaceae.